Molecule: long non-coding RNA, 1268 nt
Organism: Columba livia (rock pigeon)
Lineage: Eukaryota; Metazoa; Chordata; Aves; Columbiformes; Columbidae
Exons: 3
Source: RefSeq, a predicted model, not a curated record
CUCUCCAGUGUCUGCCCUCCCAGUGCAUGAGACCGGGGCCACACCAAGCUGGCCUCUGACAGCCUGUCCUGGCAUGUCAGGAGAGGGUUUGUCACGCUGGGCUGCAGAUUGGAACUCAGCUGGCUGGAGGUGUCAGUGAACAAAAAAGGAAGACCAAAGCAGGCAGCCAGCUCCUUCAGGACACAGAGCUCACCCUGGUAAUGGCCACAUGAAGGAGGCUGCGAUGGAGGAGAGGAGCCGCUCAUUCACAAUGCUGCAAACAGGGCACCAAACACUGACAGAGGGACAAGGGUGAGGCCCUGGCACAGCUUAGAAACUGGCUGUUGGGUCAAACUGAACACUAAGCCUGCGAAUCACUGCAUCUGUGGGCCCAUAUGCAGAUACAGAGUUUCUCUGAAGUCGAUGGCUGGUAUGAAAGAAAAUGAAAUAAAUGGAAUUAUUCACUUGUGUAAAAGCCAUAUUCACCUGAAGAAGAGAAAUAGAGCUCUGUACUCAGAAGAGAAACAUCCUUUUGCCCCAUACGAUCACUCUUGACUCUUUUGAAAACAGGCUUCACAUUUUACUUUACCUCUUUGUCACCUUCAUUUCAUCCUUGAUCCUGAACUUUCCUCAGCUCCUAUUUUUCCUGUGUCUAUUAAUCUGCCUCAGACACUCUCUGCGACUGUCACCUUUGUUUAAAUUCUCACGUAUAUCACUCUCCUCUCACCUUGACUGCUGCUCUUCCUUUUUCUACAACAUCCCCAUACUCCAGCACAUGGCACUUGCAAAAUAAAUGACUUUUAGGAUAUUCAGGAAGCUCAACACAUCCUAUUCUCAAAUAAUUCCACAUAUCUCUGUAUCAAUUUCAAAUUGCCUGUCACCCUGCACAUCUAUUGCCCAGUUUAGGAUUUUCAUCCCCUUAUUGUGACCCAUUUCCUUCCCCAACUGAUACUUUUUUUUUAAUAGAAAGUCUCUAUUGUUUAGAAAAUUCAGUUCCAUCUGGAAAAGCAUUGCUUUUGCUCUCCCAUUGUUGCUCUCUCAUUGAGUUUUGGUGCCAAAUUCAUAUCUCCUGUUUAAAGUCAGUGGGGUUGUGUCCAUUUGCUCUUAUUUUGGCCCACAGAUAUCUCUUAAAAAGCAGAAGGAAAACCAUAUUUUAUUGUCUUUGUUUCCCUUUCUGCAAUUCUGGAUUUAUUUUGUAUAAAUCUAUUACAUAUAAUGGCUUACUCUAUCAAAUGCUGUAUAAAAGAUAUAUACAAAAUCAGAUUGCCCUGUAUUUCUGCUCCUGUAAA